This 465-nucleotide ribosomal RNA is filed under the name Vreelandella stevensii. RNAcentral's name for it is "partial 16S ribosomal RNA". It matches the Rfam family "Bacterial small subunit ribosomal RNA", at positions 338 to 795 of the family's 1533-position model. The record is from RNAcentral. Lineage: Bacteria; Pseudomonadati; Pseudomonadota; Gammaproteobacteria; Oceanospirillales; Halomonadaceae.
CCUACGGGUGGCAGCAGUGGGGAAUAUUGGACAAUGGGCGAAAGCCUGAUCCAGCCAUGCCGCGUGUGUGAAGAAGGCCUUCGGGUUGUAAAGCACUUUCAGUGGGGAAGAAAGCCUUGGGGCUAAUACCCUCGAGGAAGGACAUCACCCACAGAAGAAGCACCGGCUAACUCCGUGCCAGCAGCCGCGGUAAUACGGAGGGUGCGAGCGUUAAUCGGAAUUACUGGGCGUAAAGCGCGCGUAGGCGGUCUGAUAAGCCGGUUGUGAAAGCCCCGGGCUCAACCUGGGAGCGGCAUCCGGAACUGUCAGGCUAGAGUGCAGGAGAGGAAGGUAGAAUUCCCGGUGUAGCGGUGAAAUGCGUAGAGAUCGGGAGGAAUACCAGUGGCGAAGGCGGUCUUCUGGACUGACACUGACGCUGAGGUGCGAAAGCGUGGGUAGCAAACAGGAUUAGAUACCCCGGUAGUC